UGGGGAAUAUUGGACAAUGGGCGCAAGCCUGAUCCAGCCAUGUCGCGUGAGUGAUGAAGGCCCUAGGGUUGUAAAGCUCUUUCACCGGUGAAGAUAAUGACGGUAACCGGAGAAGAAGCCCCGGCUAACUUCGUGCCAGCAGCCGCGGUAAUACGAAGGGGGCUAGCGUUGUUCGGAUUUACUGGGCGUAAAGCGCACGUAGGCGGACUAUUAAGUCAGGGGUGAAAUCCCGGGGCUCAACCCCGGAACUGCCUUUGAUACUGGUAGUCUUGAGUUCGAGAGAGGUGAGUGGAAUUCCGAGUGUAGAGGUGAAAUUCGUAGAUAUUCGGAGGAACACCAGUGGCGAAGGCGGCUCACUGGCUCGAUACUGACGCUGAGGUGCGAAAGCGUGGGGAGCAAACAGG
Molecule: ribosomal RNA, 404 nt
Filed under: Actinomycetes bacterium
Lineage: Bacteria; Bacillati; Actinomycetota; Actinomycetes
Description: Actinobacteria bacterium partial 16S ribosomal RNA
Rfam family: Bacterial small subunit ribosomal RNA
Source: RNAcentral